GACGAACGCUGGCGGCGUGCUUAACACAUGCAAGUCGAACGGAAAGGCCCUGCUUUUGUGGGGUGCUCGAGUGGCGAACGGGUGAGUAACACGUGAGUAACCUGCCCUUGACUUUGGGAUAACUUCAGGAAACUAGGGCUAAUACCGGAUAGGAGCUCCUGCUGCAUGGUGGGGGUUGGAAAGUUUCGGCGGUUGGGGAUGGACUCGCGGCUUAUCAGCUUGUUGGUGGGGUAGUGGCUUACCAAGGCUUUGACGGGUAGCCGGCCUGAGAGGGUGACCGGCCACAUUGGGACUGAGAUACGGCCCAGACUCCUACGGGAGGCAGCAGUGGGGAAUAUUGCACAAUGGGCGGAAGCCUGAUGCAGCAACGCCGCGUGCGGGAUGACGGCCUUCGGGUUGUAAACCGCUUUCGCCUGUGACGAAGCGUGAGUGACGGUAAUGGGUAAAGAAGCACCGGCUAACUACGUGCCAGCAGCCGCGGUGAUACGUAGGGUGCGAGCGUUGUCCGGAUUUAUUGGGCGUAAAGGGCUCGUAGGUGGUUGAUCACGUCGGAAGUGUAAUCUUGGGGCUUAACCCUGAGCGUGCUUUCGAUACGGGUUGACUUGAGGAAGGUAGGGGAGAAUGGAAUUCCUGGUGGAGCGGUGGAAUGCGCAGAUAUCAGGAGGAACACCAGUGGCGAAGGCGGUUCUCUGGGCCUUUCCUGACGCUGAGGAGCGAAAGCGUGGGGAGCGAACAGGCUUAGAUACCCUGGUAGUCCACGCUGUAAACGGUGGGUACUAGGUGUGGGGUCCAUUCCACGGGUUCCGUGCCGUAGCUAACGCUUUAAGUACCCCGCCUGGGGAGUACGGCCGCAAGGCUAAAACUCAAAGGAAUUGACGGGGCCCCGCACAAGCGGCGGAGCAUGCGGAUUAAUUCGAUGCAACGCGUAGAACCUUACCUGGGUUUGACAUGGAUCGGGAGUGCUCAGAGAUGGGUGUGCCUCUUUUGGGGUCGGUUCACAGGUGGUGCAUGGCUGUCGUCAGCUCGUGUCGUGAGAUGUUGGGUUAAGUCCCGCAACGAGCGCAACCCUUGUUCACUGUUGCCAGCACGUUAUGGUGGGGACUCAGUGGAGACCGCCGGGGUCAACUCGGAGGAAGGUGGGGAUGACGUCAAGUCAUCAUGCCCCUUAUGUCCAGGGCUUCACGCAUGCUACAAUGGCUGGUACAGAGAGUGGCGAGCCUGUGAGGGUGAGCGAAUCUCGGAAAGCCGGUCUCAGUUCGGAUUGGGGUCUGCAACACGACCUCAUGAAGUCGGAGUCGCUAGUAAUCGCAGAUCAGCAACGCUGCGGUGAAUACGUUCCCGGG
RNAcentral lists this ribosomal RNA (1343 nucleotides) under uncultured bacterium. RNAcentral describes it as "16S ribosomal RNA". It matches the Rfam family "Bacterial small subunit ribosomal RNA", at positions 28 to 1378 of the family's 1533-position model. The record is from RNAcentral.